RNAcentral lists this ribosomal RNA (254 nucleotides) under uncultured bacterium. Its description in RNAcentral is "partial 16S ribosomal RNA". It matches the Rfam family "Bacterial small subunit ribosomal RNA", at positions 524 to 776 of the family's 1533-position model. The record is from RNAcentral.
UACGUAGGGUGCAAGCGUUGUCCGGAAUUAUUGGGCGUAAAGAGCUCGUAGGCGGUCUGUCGCGUCUGGUGUGAAAACUCAGGGCUUAACCCUGAGCUUGCAUCGGGUACGGGCAGACUAGAGUGUGCUAGGGGAGACUGGAAUUCCUGGUGUAGCGGUGAAAUGCGCAGAUAUCAGGAGGAACACCGGUGGCGAAGGCGGGUCUCUGGGGCAUAACUGACGCUGAGGAGCGAAAAGCAUGGGGAGCGAACAGG